Molecule: ribosomal RNA, 250 nt
Filed under: uncultured bacterium
Lineage: Bacteria
Description: partial 16S ribosomal RNA
Rfam family: Bacterial small subunit ribosomal RNA
Source: RNAcentral
UACGAAGGGGGCUAGCGUUGUUCGGAAUUACUGGGCGUAAAGCGCGCGUAGGCGGCGACCUUUGUCAGAGGUGAAAUCCCGAGGCUCAACUUCGGAAUUGCCUUUGAAACGGGGUUGCUUGAGUCCGAGAGAGGAUGGCGGAAUUCCUAGUGUAGAGGUGAAAUUCGUAGAUAUUAGGAAGAACACCGGUGGCGAAGGCGGCCAUCUGGCUCGGUACUGACGCUCAGGCGCGAAAGCGUGGGGAGCAAAC